RNAcentral lists this long non-coding RNA (1239 nucleotides) under Takifugu rubripes (torafugu). RNAcentral's name for it is "lncRNA (ENSTRUG00000031908.1)". Lineage: Eukaryota; Metazoa; Chordata; Actinopteri; Tetraodontiformes; Tetraodontidae. The record is from RNAcentral.
AUGGCUGGUGCCUAUACGGCAACACCCCUCCCCCACCUAGGACAAUCAGACCACCUUUCUUUGUUCCUCACCCCCAAGUAUUCACCCCUCAUCAACCGCGUCAGGCCAUCAAUGAAGACCAUCAAGGUGUGGCCGGCGGGAGCAGACUCCGUAUUCCAGGACAGGUUUCAACACACGGACUGGAGUAUGUUUACGCCCCAGGGCAGCUGUGGCUCACACACACACACCGACAUUGACAAUUUCACCUCCACUGUUCUGGACCACAUCACCACCACCAUCGACAGCAUAACCACCACGAAGCGGAUCACCACAUACCCCAAUCAGAAGCCAUGGAUGAACAAGGAGGUGCGGCUCCUGCUGAAGGCGCGCAACACUGCCUUCAGAUCAGGAGAAGCCCAGGCCUACAGCACAGCCAGGGCUAACCUGAGGAGGGGCAUCAAAAAGGCCAAGCACACCUACAAACGCAAAAUUGAGGGUCACUUUUCCAGCUCUGACCCCAGGCGUAUGUGGCAAGGCAUCCAGGCCAUCACCGACUACAAACCCAACAACUCCAGCCCCACAGUCAUGGACACCACCUUUUUGAACGAGCUUAAUACCUUCUAUGCUCGCUUCGAAAAGGACACCGCCACUAGGACCCCUCUCCCAGCAGACCACCAACCCAUCACACUAUCAUCUACCGCCGUCUACACAGCCCUCAGCCGGAUCAACCCACGCAAGGCUGCUGGUCCUGAUGGCAUCCCUGGACGUGUGCUCAGGGCAUGCGCAGAACAGCUCGCCGGGAUUUUUACAGACAUCUUCAAUCUGUCCCUCGCCCACGCAGUGGUCCCGUCUUGCUUCAAGGCCACAACUAUCGUCCCAGUUCCGAAGCAUUCCAGACCAACCUGCCUCAAUGACUACCGCCCGGUAGCACUCACCCCCAUCAUUAUGAAGUGCUUCGAGCGACUGGUCCUGGCUCACCUGAAAGACUGCCUCCCAACCACACUCGAUCCACACCAGUUUGCCUACCGCAGCAACAGGAGCAUAGAUGAUGCAGUCUCCAUAGCACUGCACUCUGUGCUCACACACCUGGACAACACGAACACUUAUGCACGAUUGCUGUUUGCUGACUUCAGCUCAGCUUUCAACACCGUCGUCCCCUCCAAGCUGAUCACCAAACUUGGAGACCUGGGCAUCAACCCCUCCCUCUGCAACUGGACUCUGGACUCUGGACUUCCUGACCGACAGACCACAGCAUGUUAG